This is a long non-coding RNA of Gasterosteus aculeatus aculeatus (three-spined stickleback), 2029 nucleotides long. The record is from Ensembl. Lineage: Eukaryota; Metazoa; Chordata; Actinopteri; Perciformes; Gasterosteidae.
CCCCCUCCUCCCCCCACCCCUCCCACCACACACCUCGCCUCCGACCGGGGGCACUUCUGCUGAAUAUUGGAUGGAGUGAUGGGGAAGAGCUCUCAGGGACAUCUGGAGGGGGGGGUGGGGGUGGUGAGGGGAUGUGACGGAGGCUUUCUCUUUGUCUUCUGUCCUUAAGUGCUGAAGUCAAUUGAGUUGGACGGCGUGUAGGUCACAUGGCGCGUCCAGGACCGACCUCCAAAGGCUGAUGGGCGCCGACAGACGGAGCUCCGUCACCGUCACAGAAGUAAGCGAGGGUGUCGCAUUCGUUUUCCUCCUCACUUGGCAGCCUGAUCUCCAAAACCUGUUCGGAAAAAUGUGUACGAAAAUCUUGGACAUACAAAUUCGUAGUGAUACAUACGAAAUAAAUACGGACUGCAACUGAUGACGUCGCCCUGUUCAAAGUGAACGGGGACCUGCACGGGGAUCUAACCAUGUAAAAUAAACGUGUUAUGAUUGCAUUUUUAACGAGAAAUCAAUGUUAACUUGUAAGAAUAGAAUACUAACCCUAACCCCCUCAAAAAAUCCAACAUGGCAGAGAGACGUUCACUCAAGAAUCCGACAUGGUCCGCCAUGUUGUUCGCUCAAGGGGCGUGGUUAACCCCCGCCAGCUCGUAUGUAUUGUUACGAAUUUGUAUGUUCAAGAUUUUCGUACACAUUUUUACAAACAGGUUUUGGAGAUCACGUUGCACUUGGAGGUCGUUGUUAUAAUUCGAAUAAUCAAAUACAGAAGUUCUAUUUAGUUUUCUACGUUUUGAUGAGUGUCUCAGGAGUGAUCCGGGUUCUUAUUUCUGGGCCUUUUACCAAACGCAAAGGUUGAUAAUAUUUGUCCUUCUGAAUGUUGUCAAAAAUGCCCUUGUCUGGUUUGGAAGAAAAUGGAAAGAAAUCUUAGUAUAUUUUAUUUAUGUCGUUCCCAACAUGUCUCCUUGGAGCGGGACAUUGUCUCCUUGGAUGCAGCGCAUCUUGAAUAUUGAGUCUGUGUUCGACACCUCGGUGGCCGCCGGGUGCACGAUGGUGGAGAUCCUUGUGAUUAUUAAUAAUCGAGCCCCCAGUGGGACCAACAACGCACACGACUGAAACGUUUCCCGUUGUUGUGUCCUCCGUUCUUGUUGUCGUCGACUGGCUUCUUCAUUAGAACGUCACGCACAAACGCUCGCUGUGAUCCAACAAUUCAAUUACGUCCUGUUGUUACCGAUUUAAAAGAAACACACAAACACGCUGAUACUUCAUCAAUAAGCCAAUUUAGUACGGAUCUUGUGUUAAUCGCACAUUCAGACACGAGGACACUCACACGUAUUCCAUCAAUUAACCAGUUUGUGUCUCUUUUUUCCGUAUUCAAAGGUUAGGCAAGAAGACAGGUGGAAUAAAAGCGACGCUCUCUCUCUCACACACACACACACACACACACACACACACACACACACACACACACACACAUUCUCAAAUGCCAAAAUCCAGAUCUGCGUGGUGGACCAGACGCAACCAUCUGGACGCCGGCUCACUCCCACAUGCAGCUCUAGCCGCCAAUUUCCCCAUCUGGGAGAAUAAAUAAUGAAGAAAUGUGAAGUGUUUCUUCUUCAAUGGAGGAGCUCUGUGGACGAAAGGAACGCACCACAGCUCAGGAGAACCAGAGGAACGCACCACAGCUCAGGAGAACCAGAGGAACGCACCACAGCUCAGGAGAACCAGAGGAACGCACCACAGCUCAGGAGAACCAGAGGAACGCCCCACAUGUCAGGGGAACCAGAGGAACGCACCACUCAUCAGGGGAACCAGAGGAACGCACCACUCAUCAGGGGAACCAGAGGAACGCACCACAGGUCAGCGGAACCAGAGGAAUGCACUCACACCUCAGGGGAACCAGAGGAACGCACUCACACCUCAGGGGAACCAGAGGAACGCACUCACACCUCAGGGGAACCAGAGGAACGCACUCACACCUCAGGGGAACCAGAGGAACGCACUCACACAUCAGGGGAACCAGAGGAACGCACCACAG